This is an RNA transcript of Aphis gossypii (cotton aphid), 1169 nucleotides long. RefSeq lists it as uncharacterized. NCBI's taxonomy places the organism in Eukaryota, Metazoa, Arthropoda, Insecta, Hemiptera, Aphididae. The transcript has 6 exons. The record is from RefSeq and is a predicted model, not a curated record.
UGUGACGGGAAUGUUUAUUUUGAAUUUGCAUACAGACAUCAGAAUUACAUUUUUGUUAAAUAUUAGUUAGAUUUUUACUCGAAUUAAUGGGUACCUAACCUCUGUUAAAAUUGAUAAGAUUUCUGUUCUAUAGGUUCGACAGUAAAUAAACAUAAUAAAAUAUACACUAUUAAACAUGCAGCAGACAAGACAAAUAAACGAAUCACUGAUAACUGUGUGGAAAGGAUGUAGAGUGAUCGGUCUUAUAAAUAUGAUCAGUAUUGAUUAGCUAUUGAGUAUCAUAUUACAUUUACAAUUAGAAGACCAACCGACCACUAACCAACCCAUUAUUUAAAAAAAUCUCAGAAGCAAUUGCCUUUGAAAUCAUCGUUUACCUACCAGUUUCCACACCACUGCUAUCACUCAAGUUAUGGAUAUAAUAAAUUUGAACAUUUUACUAAAAUUCAGUAAGGAUUAAUGACAAAUAAUGAUUUGAAAUAAUGAAAUAUUUAUUUACCUAUUGAAAUAGUCGGACUUGCCAUUCAUGCUUAUUACAUGGGAUUUAAUUUCAAUGACUAUUUCGGCAAUCCUGGAACAUUAAAAACAAUUUCGGAAUAUGCAGUCAUCGCUGGAAUUAUCAUAAUGAUUAUGCUUGCCAUCAUGUUAUUACAUUCUAACUAUGCAUUAUUUCGAAACUCAGCUAAUAAUGAAAUUAAGGUUUAUAUAUGGCUGGUACAGCACACAAUGGUGUUUUUUAUUUGUUUUGUAAUCUGUAUCAUCGUGGUAAUAUUUGAAUAUGAAGGUGUAUUUUCAUUUUGUUUUGCUCCCAACUUGGUUAUAGUACUAUUGAUAGAAAUAAUUAUUGUCAAAAAGUUAUACAGAGAAAUUACAUCGGCUAGAGAGGGUAAUAUGAUAUAUCAGCCUUAAAAGUUUAAACCUGAAAAUUUGACAACAACAUCGAUGAACAUUUUAAAAUCAAUUAUGAAUAUAUACGUUUUAUAACUAUAUUGAUAAAUAUUUAAGUCAUUGAAUGAUCUGCAAAGAAGUUAAAAUUCCAGAUAGUCACUGUACCUAAUAUUAAAAUUCAGCUUUCAAAUGUCUAAAUCAAAUAAUUAGACAAACAAUCAUUGGUAACAAAAAAUGUUUUUAAAAUAUAUUAAUUAAUAAAUUACAAUAACUUACGAAUAUUA